CUAAGGAAAGUUAUCAGGAUGCAAAUUUAGUUUUUGAGGAGUUUGCUCGCCAUAAUCUGAAAGAUGCAGGAGAAGCUGAGGAGGGGAAGAGAGACAAGAAUGACAUUGAUGAGUGAAGAUGUCAGCUCAGGAUGCCGGAAAAUGACCUGUAGUUACCAGUGCAACGAGCAAAGCCUCACAGUUUAGUCCUUUGGAGUUAUGCUACAUAUGAAAGGAUGAGUCUUAUUCCGAGAAAUAAAGCUUGUUUGUUCUCCCCUGG
Molecule: small RNA, 259 nt
Filed under: Pongo abelii (Sumatran orangutan)
Lineage: Eukaryota; Metazoa; Chordata; Mammalia; Primates; Hominidae
Description: processed transcript
Source: RNAcentral